This 374-nucleotide ribosomal RNA is filed under the name uncultured organism. Its description in RNAcentral is "bacterial SSU rRNA". It matches the Rfam family "Bacterial small subunit ribosomal RNA", at positions 526 to 896 of the family's 1533-position model. The record is from RNAcentral.
CGUAGGGGGCGAGCGUUGUCCGGAUUUAUUGGGCGUAAAGAGCUCGUAGGCGGUUCGGCAAGUCGGGUGUGAAAACUCCGGGCUCAACUCGGAGACGCCACUCGAUACUGCCAUGACUUGAGUCCGGUAGGGGAGUGCGGAAUUCCUGGUGUAGCGGUGAAAUGCGCAGAUAUCAGGAGGAACACCGGUGGCGAAGGCGGCACUCUGGGCCGGUACUGACGCUGAGGAGCGAAAGCGUGGGGAGCGAACAGGAUUAGAUACCCUGGUAGUCCACGCCGUAAACGUUGGGCACUAGGUGUGGGGCUCGAUCGACGGGCUCCGUGCCGUAGUUAACGCAUUAAGUGCCCCGCCUGGGAAGUACGGCCGCAAGGCUA